This 577-nucleotide ribosomal RNA is filed under the name uncultured bacterium. RNAcentral's name for it is "bacterial SSU rRNA". It matches the Rfam family "Bacterial small subunit ribosomal RNA", at positions 338 to 916 of the family's 1533-position model. The record is from RNAcentral.
CCUACGGGAGGCAGCAGUAAGGAAUAUUGGUCAAUGGACGGAAGUCUGAACCAGCCAUGCCGCGUGCAGGAUGACGGCCCUCUGGGUUGUAAACUGCUUUUAUAGGGGACGAAAAAAGGGGAUUCUUCCUCACUUGACGGUACCCUAGGAAUAAGCACCGGCUAACUCCGUGCCAGCAGCCGCGGUAAUACGGAGGGUGCAAGCGUUAUCCGGAUUUACUGGGUUUAAAGGGUGCGUAGGUGGGUCGGUAAGUCAGCGGUGAAAUCUUCGAGCUUAACUCGGAAACUGCCAUUGAUACUAUCGAUCUUGAAUCGUCUAGAGGUAAGCGGAAUAUGUCAUGUAGCGGUGAAAUGCUUAGAUAUGACAUAGAACACCAAUUGCGAAGGCAGCUUACUAUGGAUGUAUUGACACUGAGGCACGAAAGCGUGGGGAUCAAACAGGAUUAGAUACCCUGGUAGUCCACGCCCUAAACGAUGGAUACUCGACAUUUGAGAUAUACUUUAAGUGUCUGAGCGAAAGCAUUAAGUAUCCCACCUGGAAGUACGAUCGCAAGAUUGAAACUUAAAGGAAUUGACGG